GAUGAACGCUGGCGGCGUGCCUAAUACAUGCAAGUCGAGCGAAUGGAUUAAGAGCUUGCUCUUAUGAAGUUAGCGGCGGACGGGUGAGUAACACGUGGGUAACCUGCCCAUAAGACUGGGAUAACUCCGGGAAACCGGGGCUAAUACCGGAUAACAUUUUGAACCGCAUGGUUCGAAAUUGAAAGGCGGCUUCGGCUGUCACUUAUGGAUGGACCCGCGUCGCAUUAGCUAGUUGGUGAGGUAACGGCUCACCAAGGCAACGAUGCGUAGCCGACCGGAGAGGGUGAUCGGCCACCCUGGGACUGAGACACGGCCCAGACUCCUACGGGAGGCAGCAGUAGGGAAUCUUCCGCAAUGGACGAAAGUCUGACGGAGCAACGCCGCGUGAGUGAUGAAGGCUUUCGGGUCGUAAAACUCUGCUGUUAGGGAAGAACAAGUGCUAGUUGAAUAAGCUGGCACCUUGACGGUACCUAACCAGAAAGCCACGGCUAACUACGUGCCAGCCGCCGCAGUAA
This 515-nucleotide ribosomal RNA is filed under the name uncultured bacterium. RNAcentral's name for it is "partial 16S ribosomal RNA". It matches the Rfam family "Bacterial small subunit ribosomal RNA", at positions 28 to 523 of the family's 1533-position model. The record is from RNAcentral.